RNAcentral lists this long non-coding RNA (3940 nucleotides) under Sorghum bicolor (sorghum). Its description in RNAcentral is "long non-coding RNA (SBIC_LNC001848)". The record is from RNAcentral. Lineage: Eukaryota; Viridiplantae; Streptophyta; Magnoliopsida; Poales; Poaceae.
CGGCUCCCCCUCCUGUCAUUGUCCUCACGCAUGUCGCAGUUCCGAUGUGGUGUAGCAAGCCUGUUGCUCUGUUUUCUUUUCCCCUAAAGAUGACAAAGGCACAAUCAUGGGCUUGGUAUGUGGCGACAGGUAAGGAAUGCUGAAUAUGUAUGUUUUUUUCCUUGGCUAACCUGCAUCUGCAUAUGUAUGUUUUCAGAACAUAAUACCAGUAUAUAAUACAGAGCUGUGGUAGCUUUUCUUCCUUCAUUCACAGGUUGCGAGAAAAGAAAACUCAUCCUGAUUCCCCACAUCUCAGCAUAUCCCUUACUCUGGCUGUUUACUUUCUUCUGAUUCAACCUUUUUCCAAGGUUAGCCACACCUUUGCCCUUUUGCACCAUGCAGCAGCAGCUUUUGUUGGUUAAAAAAAAAAAGAACUGAACUCCUUAAAAUGUUCUAAUAAUGAAAGGAGCUCUCAUUUUUGUACUACAAGUGCUGUUGAGCUCUUUUAGUUAAAUGAUGAUGAGCUGCUGUUUCAUAAAAGUGGAAUGGAAUCUAGUAGCCGCCUUGCAUUUCUUCAGGUAUUGCAGGUACUCCUAGUCCGCUACACAUGUUCAUGCUAUUGCAUUCUUUAACUUUUUUUUUUUUAAAAAAAAAAACAACAACAACUGGGAGUGAUUGAGUAAGCUGUAGCUCUGUGCAUGUCACACUGUGCACAAUUCUCCAAAAAAUCAUGCUAAACAACUGGGAGUGAUUGAGUGAGCUGUAGCUCUGUGGAUGUUGAUGUUGAAACAUCACCCUGCACAAUUCUACUACGAAGAUCAUUGGGUACUUGUACCAAAGUACUCCUCUUCUCUUCACUCUUCUAUAGCAGAAUAUUUCUGGGCAGCUCCUCUUCUCUUGUUUCUUUUCUAGCUGUUCUCUUGUUUCUUUUGCUGCAAGUGGAGGCGCUAGAGAUCAAAUUAGAGAAGCACUGCUGUCAUGUGUGCUUUGGUAGGUUAGAUGCAGAGUGGUGGGUAGAUCUGUGGAGUGAAGGAGCCGAGGAAUCUGUCUCUGUCAAUCUCAUACAAUCAUAUACUCUCAUCCAACCCACCAAGGUGGUCAACAGAAGUCAAGACCAUGGACGCAUGCAUCUGUUGCUGUCAGACACUCUAUGAGACCAUAACCAGACCAUGGUCAAUUCAUGUCAACCCAGUCGACAUGCAGGUGUGAAAAGCAGUGAUUCCUAGUACUGCUACAUAACUGAAUUUCGCGAGAAACAGUAUAGGACUUUGCAGCAAAGAAUGCAGAUUCUGCACAUUGCAACAAAUGCAAAGAACACAAGAGAUUUUUGGACAAGAGAGACGCGCGCAGACUGAUUUUGUGAGAUCCUGACGGUGACGAUGAAAAUUCAACAAAAUUCCAACUGAAUUAUCAGACAAACUGAACAAGCACAAGCAGUGAGUACAUCAACGGCAGCUAACUCCUCUAAUAAAUCCACCUCUCCGUCUCUCUGUGCAGCAGCAGCUCUACCCUGCUCGUCGGCGUCGAGGAUGAGUCAAGACGCCGUCGGGCUGGGCGCCUCUGGGGCGGCCGGCGGCGCAUCAGGCGAGGACGGCAACGCAGGUGGCGUUGGAGGCGGCGGCAGCAGGUCUGGCGGUGGCGACGCGAGUGCGGGCGGGGGCGACGCGAUCUCCGCCGGUGGCGGCGUCGGUGACGGGAAUGCCGGCGGGGGCGGCACGACUGGUGCCGGCGGGGGCAGCUGCUGCUGAGGAGGUGGGAGCACGGGCACCGGCACCGGCGACGGCGGGGGUUGUAGAGGGGUCUCGGGCACAGGCGUUGGCUGCGAGGGCGGCGGCGGCGGCGGCGGCCAGGUGGCGGCGUCCGGGGAAGGAAAGGUGGGAUUUUGAGCGGGCGUGGGCGGUGGGCGGGCGGCCGUGGCGGGUUGCUGGACGGUAGGGUCGGUGUCGGGCAGGACGGGCUGGCACGCGUCGGCGGCGGCGCACGCGGAUGAGGCGGAGUUUGAGCUGGACUUGGCGGCGGCGCGGUGGAGGACGGCGCGGAAGGCGAGGACGACGCCGACGACGGCGAGGGCGGCGAGGAGGGCGAGGAAGAUCUUGGUGGCCUUGCCGACGUAGCAGCCGCCCCGCAUGGCCGCUGCCGCUCAGCCGUCCAACUCGUCCUGCUUGGUGGUAGUUGACUGGGGGUGGUGGCUGCCGGCCGAGUGCUCUCACUCUCAGCAGUGCAGUGGUCCGGUGGAGUUUACUCGUGACGUCGCACAACACAAGACCGGUUCGGCUGGUGGGGAUCAACUAUUCAACUGUGCGGUCCAGAUUGGAAUUGGAAAAUCACACACACCUUACUUCCACCCAAAAACUCAAUUUUUUUAAAAAAAUUUCGAAUCUUUAGACGCAUGCAUAUAGUAUUAAAUAUAGAUAAAAAAACUAACUGUACAGUUUGAUCGAAAUUGACGAGACGAAUCUUUUAAGCUUAGUUAGUCUAUGGUUAAAUAAUAAUUACCACAAACAAACGAGACCGGUCCGUAGAGUGGCACACCUCCUUGGAGAGAGGCACCGCAGUAAAUGAAGCACUCAAAAAAAGAGGCGAAAUAAAUGAUUACCAUAGUAGUACUCCGCCACAUGGUACAGCGCUUCCCCUGAACUUUGGUUGUUUUGUUGGUAUAAAUUUUGUGCACAUAGCGAGUGAUGGAUGCAAAUCAUGCGAGAUUUGACCAUAGGCAACAAAGUUAUGACACUCCCUACUUAAGUUGCUGUCUUCUGGUGGCGUGGCAGUGCUGUUAUUUCUUUCAAUAUAAAAUCCAUUUUCUGUAGAGCAAAUUGGUGUACAAUGCACUACUAGAAAGGAGUGAUGCAAGAUCUGAUCAUAGGCAACAAAGUCAUUAAUAAUCAACUACAGCUUAAGGCCCAUUGGGCGCUUCAGAAACUGACCACAAACGUAACACGGACUAAUAUGAGCGAGCCCAGUAAUAAAACCCAAUAUAAGAAAACAUUACAGCCCAGCCCAAAUUUCCUAGAUGCAAUGCAGGCAAACCUCAUCCGAACGGAAGGGUGUCGAAACGGCCGGCAGCCGCUUUCUUCCUUUUUUUUUUUCCCCUCCUUUUUCUGAUCUGAUGAAUCUGAUGAUGCCGUCGCCCGUCGCCCGCUCUAUCCACACUCCCUCCCUAGUCCCUCACUCACUCCCCCCAGACCCAGAGUCGUCCGUCCACAUGGCGACUUAUCUCAACGCACCGCCGGCAGCUACCACCAUGGCUGCAAGCUACUGCCAUGCCUUCUCCGGCGGCAGCCUCCGUCUGCUCCGGCCGAGCCGACCCACGCUGCACGUGACGUGCCAAGCCUCCUCGUCCUCCUCCCAGCAGCAGCCGUCCCCGUCCAGGAGGUCAGCCUGCCUCGGCCUCGGCCUCAGCUUCGCGUGCGCCGUCCUGCUCCGCCCACGCGCCGUCGCCGCCGCAACCGACGGCGGCGACGAGGAGCCGGCCAACAACGGCUGGUGGCUCACCGAGUUCCCCUUGCCAACGCCCAAGAUCGUCAACAGUAAGCCGUCCUAGCUGCUUCUCACCUGCAGACCGACGAUUGUUCAUUCAGUAAUAAACACAGUACUGACCAGCUUCAUGAAAAAUGGAAUUGGCAAAGCAGAGGAGAUCAACAACGCCGAGACAGGGACGCGGUCCUUCAUCAAGAACGGCAUCUACAUGGCGGACAUCGGCCCCAGCUUCGCGGCGCACGCGUACCGGCUGCGCAGCACGGCCUUCGACCUGCUGGCGCUGGAGGACCUGCUCGGCAAGGACGCCUCCAACUACGUCAACAAGUACCUCCGACUCAAGUCCACCUUCAUGUACUACGACUUCGACAAGCUCAUCUCCGCCGCCGACGACAAGCCCACCUUCGUCGACCUCGCCAACCGCCUCUUCGACAGCUUCGAGACGCUCCAGGAGGCCGUCACCGCCAAGGACGACGACAGGAUAAGC